CUUUACAAUGUCAUCCAAUAAAGUUGAACACUUGAACCAACACAUAGAAGAUUAGCAUGGUCCCUGGACUGUUUGUUUUUUACUUUUUAGUCAAUUCUUGAUUUUAU
This 107-nucleotide small nuclear RNA is filed under the name Oryza sativa Japonica Group (Japanese rice). Lineage: Eukaryota; Viridiplantae; Streptophyta; Magnoliopsida; Poales; Poaceae. The record is from RNAcentral.